This 502-nucleotide ribosomal RNA is filed under the name uncultured bacterium. RNAcentral's name for it is "bacterial SSU rRNA". It matches the Rfam family "Bacterial small subunit ribosomal RNA", at positions 29 to 524 of the family's 1533-position model. The record is from RNAcentral.
AACGAACGCUGGCGGCGCGCCUAAUACAUGCAAGUCGAGCGAGAAGGUGUAGUAAUACACUUGUAAAGCGGCGAACGGGUGAGGAAUGCAUGGGUAACCUACCCUCGAGUGGGGAAUAACUAGCCGAAAGGUUAGCUAAUACCGCAUACGUUUCCGGAACUUCGGUUUCGGAAAGAAAGCAAUACCGUGGGUAUUGCGCUCCUGGAUGGGCUCAUGUCCUAUCAGCUUGUUGGUGAGGUAACGGCUCACCAAGGCUUCGACGGGUAGCUGGUCUGAGAGGACGAUCAGCCACACUGGCACUGCGACACGGGCCAGACUCCUACGGGAGGCAGCAGUAAGGAAUAUUGCGCAAUGGACGAAAGUCUGACGCAGCGACGCCGCGUGGGGGAUGAAGGUCUUCGGAUUGUAAACCCCUUUCGGGAGGGAAGAUGGAGUGGGUAACCACUUGGACGGUACCUCCAGAAGCAGCCACGGCUAACUUCGUGCCAGCAGCCGCGGUAAU